GGAACAGUUACUAGCCAUCAACCAUCAGGCUCUUGAACCAAUGAAGAACACUCCAUUAUCCAGGCAUAAGUGCUGCACACCAUACCACCUGAAAGUAUCUGAAACAACUGGAGGAGAGAUUGAAAAAGAAAGAAAGAAAAAAGAAGACAUGCACUAAC
Hypanus sabinus (Atlantic stingray) is the source of this 158-nucleotide long non-coding RNA. RefSeq lists it as uncharacterized. NCBI's taxonomy places the organism in Eukaryota, Metazoa, Chordata, Chondrichthyes, Myliobatiformes, Dasyatidae. The record is from RefSeq and is a predicted model, not a curated record. The transcript is spliced from 3 exons.